AAACACUAUGCUGCAUAACUAACAAAAAAAGCAGCCAGUUGACCGUAUUCAGUGAGCCCCCAACUUACAAAUGACUUCUGUUUGGGGAGAAGGUUCGUAAACCAGACUCACUCAUAAAUCUGAUUAAGCGACACAAACGUGGCUUCGUGCUACCCAGCGGUCCCCUCCCCAUCACCAGUGCUUCUCCUUUCCGCUUCCGGACAUCCGGGGCUCUAACUGAGCGCUGAGCUACUCCACAGGAAACACACAGCAGCGCAACUGUUAACGGUGUCCGGCUGGCGAGUGAGCGACUCCUGCACUGUGUUCCCAUCUCUGAGCGUUUGUGACCAGAGGGCGGUUCGUAUCUGUGAGACUUCGCGACUUGAAUGUUGGGUUUUGGAAGGUGACUAGAUCACAAAAGUGCUACACUCAUCGGUGGACUGAGCUACUGAAGAAUCCACAGCUGAAUGCACUGUUAGGAGAUGAGGCCCUGUGUGAAGAGGGGGCCACUGAGAGUGUGACCCAGAUGGUCUAUCUCCUUCCCAAGUUCCUUCUUCUCUCUCCGAUUCCUGGCCACUGUGCUAUGAACAGCUCUCCUCCACCCAGGCCCGUCCGCCACGCUCUUCCUGCCUUGGGGCCAGCUGAUGGUAGCCUGAAUCCUCUGAAAGAGUCUCCUGCACAGGUGACUGCAAAGCUGGAAGCUGACAAGGAUGUAAGCUCACCUGCUUGUCAAAACUCUGCUAAUGGAAACUGCUAUCUGGAACAUUGCUUCUUGAGGCUGUUUGCUCUCACCUGGAAUGCAAGAUGGAGUGCCAGGAGUUAGGAAGACAUUUGUAAUGAUUGACUUGUAAGCUUUACCCCAGAGAAUCUGGAGGUGAGCAAAUUUAUACAUUUAAUCACUCAUUUAUGUAAACCAUUUUAAUUAAAUACAAACAA
Molecule: long non-coding RNA, 915 nt
Organism: Fukomys damarensis (Damara mole-rat)
Lineage: Eukaryota; Metazoa; Chordata; Mammalia; Rodentia; Bathyergidae
Exons: 3
Source: RefSeq, a predicted model, not a curated record